AUGCUCUCUUUGGCAGCACGUAUAGUAAAAUUGGAAUGAAACGGAGAAAAUUGGCAUAGCCCCUGUAUAAGCAGGACACUCACAUUUUUGAAGCAUUCCAGAUUUUU
Hyaena hyaena (striped hyena) is the source of this 107-nucleotide small nuclear RNA. The record is from RefSeq and is a predicted model, not a curated record. Lineage: Eukaryota; Metazoa; Chordata; Mammalia; Carnivora; Hyaenidae.